AACGAACGCUGGCGGCAUGCCUAACACAUGCAAGUCGAACGAGACCUUCGGGUCUAGUGGCGCAUGGGUGCGUAACGCGUGGGAACCUGCCGUUAGGUUCGGAAUAACUCCCUGAAAGGGGUGCUAAUACCGGCUAAUGUCUUCGGACCAAAGAUUUAUCGCCUUUGGAUGGGCCCGCGUUGGAUUAGCUGGUUGGUAGGGUAUAAGCCUACCAAGGUGACGCUCCAUAGCUGGUCUGAGAGGAUGAUCAGCCACACUGGGACUGAGACGCGGCCCAGACUCCUACGCGAGGCAGCAGUGGGGAAUAUUGGACAAUGGGCGAAAGCCUGAUCCAGCAAUGCCGCGUGAGUGAUUAAGGCCUUAGGGUUGUAAAGCUCUUUUACCCGGGAUGAUAAUGACAGUACCGGGAGAAUAAGCUCCGGCUAACUCCGUG
Molecule: ribosomal RNA, 433 nt
Filed under: uncultured bacterium
Lineage: Bacteria
Description: partial 16S ribosomal RNA
Rfam family: Bacterial small subunit ribosomal RNA
Source: RNAcentral